GGGGCUAUGGCGCAGUUGGUAGCGCGCAAUCUUAGCAUUCGCUUCAGAGCUUGCGUGGUUGAGGUCUCGGGUUCGACUCCUGAUGGCUCCA
This is a non-coding RNA of Naganishia friedmannii, 91 nucleotides long. The record is from the annotation of a GenBank genome assembly. Lineage: Eukaryota; Fungi; Basidiomycota; Tremellomycetes; Filobasidiales; Filobasidiaceae.